RNAcentral lists this transfer RNA (74 nucleotides) under Candidatus Cloacimonadota bacterium. Its description in RNAcentral is "tRNA-Arg". It matches the Rfam family "tRNA". Rfam says of the family: Transfer RNA (tRNA) molecules are approximately 80 nucleotides in length. Their secondary structure includes four short double-helical elements and three loops (D, anti-codon, and T loops). Further hydrogen bonds mediate the characteristic L-shaped molecular structure. tRNAs have two regions of fundamental functional importance: the anti-codon, which is responsible for specific mRNA codon recognition, and the 3' end, to which the tRNAs corresponding amino acid is attached (by aminoacyl-tRNA synthetases). tRNAs cope with the degeneracy of the genetic code in two manners: having more than one tRNA (with a specific anti-codon) for a particular amino acid; and 'wobble' base-pairing, i.e. permitting non-standard base-pairing at the 3rd anti-codon position. Lineage: Bacteria; Pseudomonadati; Candidatus Cloacimonadota. The record is from RNAcentral. RNAcentral also lists the same sequence under 2 other names.
GGGCCCGUAGCUCAGGUGGAUAGAGCGACGGAUUCCUAAUCCGUAGGCCGCGCGUUCGAGUCGCGCCGGGCCCA